RNAcentral lists this ribosomal RNA (440 nucleotides) under uncultured bacterium. Its description in RNAcentral is "partial 16S ribosomal RNA". It matches the Rfam family "Bacterial small subunit ribosomal RNA", at positions 338 to 795 of the family's 1533-position model. The record is from RNAcentral.
CCUACGGGCGGCAGCAGUGGGGAAUAUUGCACAAUGGGGGGAACCUUGAUGCAGCAACGCCGCGUGGGUGAAGAAGUACUCCGGUAUGUAAAGCCCUGUCAGCAGGGAAGAAAAUGACGGUACCUGACCAAGAAGCCCCGGCUAACGACGUGCCAGCAGCCGCGGGAAUACGUAGGGGGCAAGCGUUAUCCGGAUUUACUGGGGGUAAAGGGGGCGUAGACGGCAAGGCAAGGCUGGAGUGAAAGCCCGUGGCCCAACCCCGGGACUGCUGUGGAAACUGUGUUGCUGGAGUGCAGGAGGGGUAAGCGGAAUGCCUAGUGUAGCGGUGAAAUGCGUAGAUAUUAGGAGGAACACCGGUGGCGAAGGCGGCUUACUGGCCUGUAACUGACGUUGAGGCUCGAAGGCGUGGGGAGCAAACAGGAUUAGAUACCCGUGUAGUC